Arabidopsis lyrata subsp. lyrata is the source of this 650-nucleotide long non-coding RNA. RefSeq lists it as uncharacterized. The transcript has 2 exons. The record is from RefSeq and is a predicted model, not a curated record. NCBI's taxonomy places the organism in Eukaryota, Viridiplantae, Streptophyta, Magnoliopsida, Brassicales, Brassicaceae.
UAUGUCUUACACACAAGUGUCAAAAUAUAGUAGAAGACAUAGAAAAUGUUUAGAUUAUGAUUAAAAUAUCACAAAACUUUGUGACAUAAAUCAUAAUCCAAGCCUUUUAACAAAAAAAAAAAAAAAAGACAUAAAUCAUAAUCCAUAUGCAUCCAAGUUCUAAUAAUAGGUCGACUCUAUCUUGUAAAAAAAACUUUAAUUAAAUAGUAAAGGAUAUUGUAUUGAAUUUUGAGAUAUUUUUCUCUCACUAUAAAAGGAAGAAUUGUGUAGAGAUCAUAAGAGCCCAAUCAAACAUAUCUGAUAUACUUGUAUUGUUUACUCUAAGAUUUGCGAAGGUUAUAACUCUUAAGGGACAUUAAUGGGAAACUGGUGUAGUUGUGUAACUAAAGAUGAAAGUAGUGAUAAUACUAGCAGCUCUCAAACUUCUACGGAUAAAGAAAGUACUGAGCAAGUUUCUUCUGUGAGUGAUGGGUCUUCUUCACAGAUUUCAUCUGAUAGUUCUUCUUCAAAAUGAUCAUCUCAAAGUUCCAAUGAUGGAAUGGAAGCGUAAUUAGUGAGCAAGAGUCUGAUGGAUCUUCUUCAUCUUAUCGAUCGAAAAUAUCUCCUAAAUAAAUAACUUUCUAUGUCAAUCUUCAUAUUAGAAGAAACUU